AUUCUACUCCCUUCGUUCCGAAUUACUUGUCGUAGGUAUGAAUGUAUCUAGAUGUAUUUUAGUUCUAAAUACAUCCAUUUCUGCGACGAGUAAUUUGAAACGGAAGGAGUAUAUA
Molecule: non-coding RNA, 115 nt
Organism: Triticum urartu
Lineage: Eukaryota; Viridiplantae; Streptophyta; Magnoliopsida; Poales; Poaceae
Source: Rfam